CGGGAACUCAAAGGAGACUGCCAGUGAUAAACUGGAGGAAGGUGGGGAUGACGUCAAGUCAUCAUGGCCCUUACGACCAGGGCUACACACGUGCUACAAUGGCGCAUACAAAGAGAAGCGACCUCGCGAGAGCAAGCGGACCUCAUAAAGUGCGUCGUAGUCCGGAUUGGAGUCUGCAACUCGACUCCAUGAAGUCGGAAUCGCUAGUAAUCGUGGAUCAGAAUGCCACGGUGAAUACGUUCCCGGGCCUUGUACACACCGCCCGUCACACCAUGGGAGUGGGUUGCAAAAGAAGUAGGUAGCUUAACCUUCGGGAGGGCGCUUACCACUUUGUGAUUCAUGACUGGGGUGAAGUCGUAACAAGGUAACCGUAGGGGAACCUGCGGUUGGAUCACCUCCUUA
Molecule: ribosomal RNA, 402 nt
Filed under: Escherichia coli
Lineage: Bacteria; Pseudomonadati; Pseudomonadota; Gammaproteobacteria; Enterobacterales; Enterobacteriaceae
Also listed under: 126 other names
Description: bacterial SSU rRNA
Rfam family: Bacterial small subunit ribosomal RNA
Source: RNAcentral